RNAcentral lists this ribosomal RNA (468 nucleotides) under uncultured bacterium. RNAcentral's name for it is "partial 16S ribosomal RNA". It matches the Rfam family "Bacterial small subunit ribosomal RNA", at positions 28 to 507 of the family's 1533-position model. The record is from RNAcentral.
GAUGAACGCUGGCGGCGUGCUUAACACAUGCAAGUCGAACGGUAAGGCCCUGCUUUUUUGGUGUGUUCGUGUCGCGCACGUGUGUGUCACACGUGUAUCCCCUCCCUUUCUCUUUGGUAUACCUUCAGGACUCUGUCUCUAAUCCCGGAUAGGAGCUCCUCCUGCAUGGUGUGUUUUGGAGAUUUUUGGCGGUUGGGGAUGGACUCGCGGCUUAUCAGCUUGUUGGUGGGGUAGUGGCUUACCAAGGCCUUGACGGGUAGCCGGCCUGAGAGGGUGACCGGCCACAUUGGGACUGAGACACGGCCCAGACUCCUACGGGAGGCAGCAGUGGGGAAUAUUGCACAAUGGGCGGAAGCCUGAUGCAGCGACGCCGCGUGAGGGAUGACGGCCUUCGGGUUGUAAACCGCUUUCAGCAGGGAAGAAGCGAGAGUGACGGUAAUGGGAGAAGAAGCACCGGCUAACUACGUG